RNAcentral lists this ribosomal RNA (253 nucleotides) under uncultured bacterium. RNAcentral's name for it is "partial 16S ribosomal RNA". It matches the Rfam family "Bacterial small subunit ribosomal RNA", at positions 524 to 776 of the family's 1533-position model. The record is from RNAcentral.
UACAGAGGUUGCAAGCGUUAAUCGGAAUUACUGGGCGUAAAGCGCGCGUAGGCGGCAAGUUAAGUCGCUUGUGAAAGCCCUGGGCUCAACCUAGGAAUUGCAUUCGAUACUGGCUCGCUCGAGUUUGGUAGAGGAGAGUGGAAUUCCCGGUGUAGCGGUGAAAUGCGUAGAUAUCGGGAGGAACAUCAGUGGCGAAGGCGGCUCUCUGGACCAAAACUGACGCUGAGGCGCGACAGCGUGGGGAGCAAACAGG